RNAcentral lists this ribosomal RNA (435 nucleotides) under uncultured Chloroflexota bacterium. RNAcentral's name for it is "bacterial SSU rRNA". It matches the Rfam family "Bacterial small subunit ribosomal RNA", at positions 718 to 1165 of the family's 1533-position model. The record is from RNAcentral. Lineage: Bacteria; Bacillati; Chloroflexota.
AAGGCGGCCUCCUGGACCACUCCUGACACUCAGACGCGAAAGCUAGGGUAGCAAACGGGAUUAGAGACCCCGGUAGUCCUAGCCCUAAACGAUGUAGACUUGGCGUCGGUGGUUUAAUCGCCAUCGGUGUCGUAGCUAACGCGNUAAGUCUACCGCCUGGGGACUACGGCCGCAAGGUUAAAACUCAAAGGAAUUGACGGGUCCCCGCACAAGCAGCGGAGCGUGUGGUUUAAUUCGAUGCUACACGAAGAACCUUACCUGGGUUUGACAUAGAGGUAGUAGGGAAGCGAAAGCGGACCGACCCUUCGGGGAGCCUCUACAGGUGUUGCAUGGCUGUCGUCAGCUCGUGUCGUGAGAUGUUCGGUUAAGUCCGCUAACGAGCGCAACCCUCGCUGUGUGUUACAAGUGUCACACGGUACUGCCGAUAUUAAGUCA